RNAcentral lists this ribosomal RNA (405 nucleotides) under uncultured prokaryote. RNAcentral's name for it is "bacterial SSU rRNA". It matches the Rfam family "Bacterial small subunit ribosomal RNA", at positions 355 to 774 of the family's 1533-position model. The record is from RNAcentral.
UGGGGAAUAUUGGGCAAUGGGCGCAAGCCUGACCCAGCAACGCCGCGUGAGGGAAGAAGGUCUUCGGAUUGUAAACCUCUGUCCUUGGGGACGAAAAAAAUGACGGUACCCAAGGAGGAAGCUCCGGCUAACUACGUGCCAGCAGCCGCGGUAAUACGUAGGGAGCGAGCGUUGUCCGGAAUUACUGGGCGUAAAGGGUGCGUAGGUGGCUUGGCAAGUCAGAUGUGAAAUCCCCGGGCUUAACUCGGGAUCUGCAUUUGAAACUGCUGAGCUUGAGUGCAGGAGAGGAAAGCGGAAUUCCUAGUGUAGCGGUGAAAUGCGUAGAUAUUAGGAGGAACACCAGUGGCGAAGGCGGCUUUCUGGACUGUAACUGACACUGAGGCACGAAAGCGUGGGGAGCAAACA